Molecule: long non-coding RNA, 374 nt
Organism: Saccostrea cuccullata (small rock oyster)
Lineage: Eukaryota; Metazoa; Mollusca; Bivalvia; Ostreida; Ostreidae
Exons: 4
Source: RefSeq, a predicted model, not a curated record
AGAAUUGCCCAGGAGCUUUCAGAAAAAGAAAUUCGGAAAUUUCCUUAAUACGCCAGGACCCAGUGGCGGCGUCUUUGACAGCCAGUGAAACAGACAAUGAGGGAUUCGGGUGGUCCUUGUCUGGUCUUCUUGGUGCCCUACACAGAUUACAUCAUAAUCCAUUCUCCUAUAAUGAGGACGCCAUUUGAUGAUGGCACAUUUUUUCACCAUUGACAAGAUAGACCAUUCCUCACUGAAAAUUCCUAAAUUUGAAAAUUUUAAAACUGUUAACGUUUAUUCAGAAAAGCAGGUUUACUGUUGAAGACAAUAAGUUUAACUGGAUUUUUAUAAAUACAAUGUAUGUAAAUACAGAUUUUUAUCUUCAUGUCCUUUAC